Molecule: long non-coding RNA, 1828 nt
Organism: Oncorhynchus tshawytscha (Chinook salmon)
Lineage: Eukaryota; Metazoa; Chordata; Actinopteri; Salmoniformes; Salmonidae
Source: Ensembl
GAAUAAGUGAAUCCCUCCUAAUGGAUAUUUCUGAAGGCUACUGGACAUAAGUGAUUGGGAAGCGACUGUUAGACGUAGAUUCUCAGAAGCAAACUGCGCCCUGUCCUUUACGUAGCCCUUCACGAUCACACAUUUUUUAGGCGUAAAUCCAAAUAAUCACAUACCCAAGAAUAUUUAUAUAUUAAAAAAAGAAAAGUGUGCACUCUGAACCACUUCGUAAGACAACAGGCAGCAGUCCCAGGACAGAUAACAUGUCUGUGAAGCCCUCCUAAUGGAUAUUUCGGGAGCUGAGGGGGACAACGAUUUAUAUAUUUAUUUUAUUUUAUUAGGUAUGAUGGACAUCGGACACAUAGGGUGACUUGGAUGCGUUAGGGACUCUGAACGACAUCGGAAGAACCGAUGAAACACUGACACAACGGGUGACUUGGAUGCAUUAGGGACUCUGAACGACAUCGGAGGAACCGAUGAAACAGACAGUAUUAUGUCUUUUUGUAUGAAAGGUCUACGAACGUUGGAACAUCUACAACUAUUGAAGAUGCAAAAAGGGGUUUUCAGAAAUACAUUGGGUUUGCAGAUAUGUAUUAUUAUAAAAAUAAUAUAACAUUAUUAUCAUAAUCUAAAACACUUUAAAGGAGCUCUAAUUCAAACAUGCAAGGAUAUAUAUAUAUAUAUAUAUAUAUAUAUAUAUAUAUAUAUAUAAUACGAUUACCCACUUUAAAACUGUUGCUGCAAUAUCACUUCUCAAUGUGUGUACAUUUCAAGCUUUCAACAACAAACCAACCAGCUCAAUGUUUCUCAGACUUACACACUGUUGAGUUUUCCUAGUUAGUAAAGAAACAACCACUAAGCCAAAACACAAAGUUGUAAUAUAAUCUGUAUACAAGUCAUUCUAUACGGAAAACAGGUACAUUUUGAUUGAUCAAGAAUUCCCAAUAGGUUUGUGUCACGCCCGGACCAUAGUUUGCUAUGUAUGUUUUUAGGUUUUGUUUGGUAUGGGUGUGAUCUGAGUGGGCAUUCGAUGCUGUAUGUCUAGUUUGUCUUUUUCUGUGUUGGGCCUGAGAUGAUUUUCCCCAUCAGAGGCCGGUGUUAGUCAUUGUCUCUGAUGGGGAACCAUAUUUAGGUAGCCUGUGUUGUCAUUGUUGGGUGAUUGUCUAUGUUAGGUGCUUGUGUCAGCACAUUUGAUAUAUAGCGUCACGGUCGUUGUUCAUUUAUUGGCUUGUUCAGUUUACUUUGUGUUUUCGUCAUCCAUUAAAACGAUGCAUUCACACCACGUAACGCUUUGGUCCGCUUCUUAUUACCCAUGACGAUCGUGACAGCUUGAUCUGAUCCUCAACCCUAUUACGACAGCAUAUAAUGCACAGUCAUAUGCAAAACCAUAAAACUCUGACAAGAAAACAAUGAAAACCUUAACACGACUACACGCAUUGCCAUUAUUUUAGUUAACAGCCACCCAUGGUUGAAUUUGGUACUUUUUCUUUGUACAUGCACCAAGCCUCCAAGGGGGGUGACAACCGUAUUCCUAAUGAGAAAUAUAGUCUAAUAAAACAAAAUGUCUGCAUAAUGAAAGACAUGACGAUGAAAUGUAUAUGUUGUGCAAAGCAUUUUGGAUUCUCAGUCCACAGAAUGGAACACCUAUCAAUUAACCAUGAAAACGGGCGUUACCCCUGAUAUACACUAUUGUGUUCUAUGUUGGUAGGUCUAAUAAACAAAAAUAUUGUAUACAUUGAUAAUAUUAUUUUGUCAGAAAUUCAAGCCGUUGAUACAGUUGUGUACUCUAUCGCCCGCCCUGCUGAUCGUGCUCUAUCUGAACUACAUUAUGCAAAUUAUU